RNAcentral lists this unclassified non-coding RNA (233 nucleotides) under plant metagenome. Its description in RNAcentral is "partial contains small subunit ribosomal RNA, internal transcribed spacer 1, and 5.8S ribosomal RNA". The record is from RNAcentral.
UUUCCGUAGGUGAACCUGCGGGAGGAUCAUUAUUGGAUUUUGAAACUUCAGGCUGCUGCUGGCUCUCCUCGGAGGGCAUGUGCACGCUUGUUGUCCAUUAUUUCUCCCACUGUGCACAAAUUGUAGACCUUUCAGUAGGCCUAUGUUGUUUUCCACAAUCUCUGAAUGUAAUAGAAUGGUUUUGAAUCUUGGGAAAUACAAUACAACUUUCAGCAACGGAUCUCUUGGCUCUC